Long non-coding RNA from Drosophila obscura, 905 nucleotides. RefSeq lists it as uncharacterized. The record is from RefSeq and is a predicted model, not a curated record. The transcript has 3 exons. NCBI's taxonomy places the organism in Eukaryota, Metazoa, Arthropoda, Insecta, Diptera, Drosophilidae.
CAAUAUAGUCUAUCAUUUUAAAUUCAACAAAAUUUUUAACAAUAUCUCAUUGACUUUUUCACAUUCAGAUACUUUCAGUUGUUUUCAUAUGUUUCUCCAAUAAAUUCAAGAGUCUAUACACGUCGUAGCCUCCAGCUUAUUCAACUAUAAGAACGGAAUAGUCCGUCCGCAGAAACAGAAGUCAAAAUGAUAAGCCACAGGCCCAUUUAUAGCCAUGACCAAACUAUUACCAAUUCUGUUUGCCUGCUACAUGCACCUGUUUUCGAGUUUCUCGCUCUUAAUCUUUGAUGGGGAGGCUUAUGAAGUACAAUCUUACUGGGGCAGCCUUAUCUUCUUUCUGUCAAUGAUGGAUGUGCUGCACGGCAACAAUCUACUACCCAAGAAAUCGUACCGUAAGAGUAGGUUGCUCAAGAUAAUUAUAGAGACAGUCUUUGUCUUUCUCAUUAGUGAGAUUACUAUGGCGUUUUUCUGGACCAAACUGGAAAGUACUCUUGACAUGAUUCUUCGUCUCAUCACUGAGACAGAUGCCACUCGCUUAUUUCUUUUGGAGGCGAUCACCGUGGGACUCAGUCUGUUCAACUGGGCGAUGGUCUCCCAGCCACCCAUCCGGACGGGCUGUAUAACUUCCUGUCCCGUACUUCCUGCACGUUUUUUGUGUGGUUCAAGGAAUUGGUCGGAAGUUGCUGCAAUCUGAUGAAAUCUCGUGAGCAACCCAAAGUUCGUCGCACUGAAAUUAAAGGAAUAUUGAAGAAUUCGAAAAACAAACGCUAGCUAAAUUGACUGGAAGUGAAAAUCUCUUGUGGGAAGCCUUAAUAAUGUUUACAUCGUAGUUUGUCUACUUAACAAAAUAUUCUUUAAUUUGAUACAUAUAUGUACAUAAAUAUAUAUUUAUGGAUGUGUGUGUC